AAAAGACUAAGUGAAAUGUAAAGGCAGCGAAGGAGAGAAAUUUUCUUGGUGAAGGAAUCUCCAAUCUCCCACUAACCUUCCUGGGGAGCAAGUGUAGAGAGCCCUACAUUUGUGAAAUUGGAUUGAUUCUCCUUCAGGCAGGAGGGAAGGGCAGCAGAUUAAACAUUUUUUCUGGCUGCCAUCAGUGGCAUUCUAUGAAUGACAGAAGCUUCUCACCAAUCUGAGAUCACUUCACAGCAGAAGCAAAGGAACCAAGUUGACUAUUGCUUUGUAAAAUUAAAGAAAUUAUACCUCAGAAUCUGCAACUGCUUGCAAAGAUUGAUGAGAUUGUUAACCGAAGUGUGAAGAGAACAUUACAUUCUUCAGUAAAAGGAAGGUGUCCAAGACCUUCCUCCAGCACAAUGUUAGAAGUUGUGAUAUACGCUUAAUGGCAAUGCUCAGUUCGUGCAAAUCAAAAAGUCAAGAUGAAGUCUGUACAUCCAGAAAGACCUGACAACAUUUUGGCUUGGGCUGCUCAUUGAUAAUGUUGGGCAAAUUAUCAGUGCAUUCAUGGCAGAGUCUCAAUCAGGAAUUCAAGAAUGUCAGCCAAAGUUUUCUCUCUUAAAUAAAACAGAAAUGUUGGAUUGGCUCUGGAAGUAUCAGUGGAAAGAAAAACAGUUGACUUUUUGAGUCAAAUAUGACUCUUCUUUGGAACUGGAGGCAAGAUUGGAAGCCUUAAGUGUCUGAAACUGUUUGGAUUCAUCAAAUCUAUUAUACGAAUAUUUCCAGUUUCUGCAGUAUUUUGCACUUACAUGAGUUCAAAACAUAUUUAUGACACUUGGGAGCAUAUUCUUCUCCCAAAGAUGAGAAUGAUCAUCGAUGAUAACACUGGUUGGGAGAUGAUAUAGACAUCGCUGGCUGGGCCAUUUAUUAUCCAUUCCUAUUUGGUCUUGAGAAGGUGAUGGUGAGUUGUUGCCUUGAACUGCUGCAGUUCUUACACUGCAAGAACAUCCAAAAUAUUACGAAGGAGGGUGCUCCAGGAUUUUAAGCCAGCAACACUGAAGAAAUGGUGAUAUAGUUCUAAGUCAGGAUGGUGUGCCACUUAGAGGGGAACUUGUAGGUGGUGGUAUUCUCACGUAUUUGCUGCCCUUGUUCUUUCAUAUGGUGGUGGUCACGGUGGUGCUUUUAAAAGAGCUUUGAAGAAUAUCUGCAGUGCAUCUUGUAGAUAGUAUACACUGCUGUUACUCUGCCAGUGGUGAAGUGAGCGGAUGUGGCGCCAAUCAAACAGGCUGUUUUGCCCCAGAUGGUGUCAGCUUCUCAAAUGUUAUUGUCAUCUUAGCCUCUGGCCUCCUCCUGUAGCCAUUUCUUAAAUGGUUUGUUCCGUUGAAUUUCUGAUCAAUGGUAACCUCCAAGAUGUUAAUAGUAGGGUGUAUUCAAUGAUGGUAAUAUUAUUGAAUAUCAAGUGUGAUGACUAAAUUUGCUCCAGUUCAAGAUGGUCAUUGCCUGGCAUUUGUGUUGUGCAAGUGUUACCAGUUGUCAGCUCAAACCUGGAUAUUGUUCAGAUCGUGUUGCAAUUGGACACGGAGUGCUUCAGUAUUUGAGGAGACACAACUGUUUCUUAACAUUGCACAGUGAUACUGACCAUCUCCACUUCUGGCCUUAUGAUGGAGGGAAGGUCAUUGAUGAAGCAGCUGAAGAUGGUUGGGCCUAUGAUCCUGAGGAACUCCUGCAGAGAUGUCCUGGAGCUGAGGUGACUGACCUCCAAUACCAAAACAAUCUUGCUUUUUGUUACAUAUGACUCAAUCAGCAAAGUGAUGUCUCCUGAUUCCCACUGACUCCGGUUUUGCGAGGCAGUGGAUUAAAUCACCCACUCUAACCUUUCCAUCCUUGGUCUUCUACAUUGUUCUCAAGGCAUUCGACAUAACAUUAAUGUGUCAGGACACGAAAAUGAGUUCAACAUUUUCAGAUCAUAACCAAGGCCCAUGCUAAUGGGGAGGGUUUUUGUGUUAAUGAUUCUGUUUCCUAAUUAAACUUUUUCUUUACGUUUCUUUAUUUUCCUAUUGCCAACUUGUACUGACCUGUACUGUCCAUUCUUUUGCUAUUUAAUCAUUUAAGUGUGCUACAUUCUGCUAUAUCAUAGGCCUUCACUUGUUUUUCUUUUCCUUCCUUACCCCUUUCUCUGCUUAUUUACUUAAAAUCUCCUACCUCUCUAACUUUUUCCAAUUCUGACAGAAAGCCAUUGACCGAAAAAGCUAUUGUUUUUUUCCCCACUCAUUGCAGAAAUUAUCGGUCCUUUUGAGUGUUUUUGGCAUUUUCUCUAUGUUUCCAUGUUGUCCAGGAUUCAUCUUGAACAAAAUGAUAAAGGUAGAUGUCUUCAGGUGGAUGAUAAUUUUGAAAUGGUAAUUUUCUGCCGAUGCAACAGGGUAUACUCAGGGAUAGUGAUGGUGAUGCAUAGGAUGUUGUGUAUAAGGUUUUGUUCGGUGAGUACGACUACAUUAGGCAGUUGCUCGACUAGUCUGUGAGAUUGCUCUCCCAAUUUUGGUUCUAGGAAGUAGCCAGUGGUCAGGGGGCUUUGAAAGGUCAAUAGGGGUUUGCUUGCCAUUGUCAUUUCUGGUGCCUUAGUCGACGCCAGGUGGUUUGUCUGGUCUCACUCUUUUUUUUAAUCCCCUUUCUAGAAGUUGAUACAACGGAAUUGCUCACUAGCAGUGGCUCUGGAAACACAUAUUUCAGAUCAGGUAAGGACAGCAGGAAAAGGACAGGAAAAGCAAAUCAGAUAGCUAUUUCCAACAAUUGGCAGAGAUUGGAUUUUUAAUCCCAGAGUUUUAUUUGCUGCGGUGGGAUUUGAACCUGGGUCUCUGGAUCACUAGCCCUGCAACAAUACCAUGAGGCCAUCAUCUCCUUUGCUCAAGAGAUAUAAAUAGCUCACUGCACAACUAGAUUUUUAAAAGUAAGAACACAAAAGCUAUGUGUGCUCAUUCGAUUACUAGCUUGCAUCAAUAGCCUUAUCUUUCUGACAGCAGCAGAAUGAAAAUAUCUCCACAGCACCAAUGGUGCCCCAUCAAUCUCAGGAUUGUUUCAUUGAAAAGUCUCACAGGUUAUUAUUGCAAAGGUACUUCAACUUCUAAAAAAAAUUCUGUUAUCAACUUCAAAUGAUUUUCAUUUUAAAAAUGUCCCUCGAUAGCCUUUCAUGGAUUUGUAAUUUUGAAUAAAAGUUAGCUUUUCAUUGGUAAGUUUUGCAUGCUGUUUACAGAAACCGACUGAGUAAUACUGUUUUCAAAAACAGCAUUGAGUGUUCCUUUGUUGAGAAAAAUAUUGCAAGAAAUAAUCCUUAUACAAGUUGGAACUUUAAAAAAUAAGUUACAUUAAACUACAUGAAUAGGCAAGGUUUGGAGGGAUGUAGGCCAGGAGCAGGCAGGUGGGACUACUUUAAUUUGGGAUUAUGUUCAGCAUGCCCGGCUGUUUCUGUGCUGUAUGACCCUAUGAUUCUAUUUAAGUAGGUAGGAGAAAACACAGCUGAACUAUUCAUUCAUUAAGAUCAGAAUAAUAGCCAGAUUCAAGAGUUAGUAAGCCAAUAUCUCCAUGAUCUAACACAACAAUUAACGUUUAUUUCAUUUAAUUUGAAUUGUGCGUUUUGAAUUUAUAUCCUCUGUUUCUUGGUGUACUUUUAGUCGGACUUUUAGUUCAUUUCGUCAGAAAAAGGAGCAGCAGUGGGGCAAUCAGCCCUUUGAUUUUAUGUGCUAUAAGAACUGUGAUGUCUCCUCAUCAGAAAAGUUGGCAUUUGAAGUAACCAAAUAUCAAAUUCGAGAACUCAAAAAUUAUCCAAUAACAAGAGGUGAUUGAAUCUUUGAGUAUAAUUUAUGGAUUGAAGGCUAUUUACCAUGUUGAAAAUUUGAUGUAAAAAUUGAUACAAGGCAAAUAAAUUGUUUGGUUAUUAAAAGGAUGUUGAGAUUAUUGAAGAGAAAGGUCAUAUUUUGCCUCAUAAUUUGAAUUGAAAACAGUUCACUAAACGGUAGGAUCCUUAGAGCAAACAGAUUUCCAUGCCAGCUCCUGUGGACUGGUUGGUUUCAGCGUGUUCUGUGCACCUUAUCCCUGACUCAAAUAUUCUGUCCAUGAGAAAUCAUGUAACAUCUAUCUCUACACAGGACAAAACUUAAGGAGAAAUCCAAGCUGGGAGUAGUAUUGCUAUGUAAUGGAAGCCAAAACAAAAAGGAGCUUCACUAAG
Long non-coding RNA from Stegostoma tigrinum, 4201 nucleotides. RefSeq lists it as uncharacterized. NCBI's taxonomy places the organism in Eukaryota, Metazoa, Chordata, Chondrichthyes, Orectolobiformes, Stegostomatidae. The transcript has 8 exons. The record is from RefSeq and is a predicted model, not a curated record.